This 28-nucleotide small RNA is filed under the name Bombyx mori (domestic silkworm). Its description in RNAcentral is "ovarian small RNA-2039". Lineage: Eukaryota; Metazoa; Arthropoda; Insecta; Lepidoptera; Bombycidae. The record is from RNAcentral.
UCCCAACCACCUCGAAUGCUCGGAAGGG